UACAGAGGGUGCAAGCGUUAAUCGGAAUUACUGGGCGUAAAGCGCGCGUAGGUGGUUCGUUAAGUUGGAUGUGAAAUCCCCGGGCUCAACCUGGGAACUGCAUUCAAAACUGUCGAGCUAGAGUAUGGUAGAGGGUGGUGGAAUUUCCUGUGUAGCGGUGAAAUGCGUAGAUAUAGGAAGGAACACCAGUGGCGAAGGCGACCACCUGGACUGAUACUGACACUGAGGCACGAAAGCGUGGGGAGCAAACAGG
RNAcentral lists this ribosomal RNA (253 nucleotides) under uncultured bacterium. RNAcentral describes it as "partial 16S ribosomal RNA". It matches the Rfam family "Bacterial small subunit ribosomal RNA", at positions 524 to 776 of the family's 1533-position model. The record is from RNAcentral. RNAcentral also lists the same sequence under 1 other name.